AGCCUUGUAUUCAUUUUGUGAUGACAGAAUGCAAUUCUGUAGGGGUAGGCGUAGGCUUACCAAGGCCU
This 68-nucleotide transfer RNA is filed under the name Coptotermes sp. RNAcentral describes it as "tRNA-Cys". RNAcentral also lists the same sequence under 2 other names. Lineage: Eukaryota; Metazoa; Arthropoda; Insecta; Blattodea; Rhinotermitidae. The record is from RNAcentral.